CCUCGGAUGGUGAAACGCAGACACGGCGACCUUAGAAUUCGCUGCCCCAUGGGGGCGUGCCGGUUCGAGUCCGCCUGCGGGAACAA
This 86-nucleotide transfer RNA is filed under the name Streptomyces sp. 2R. RNAcentral describes it as "tRNA-Leu". Lineage: Bacteria; Bacillati; Actinomycetota; Actinomycetes; Kitasatosporales; Streptomycetaceae. The record is from RNAcentral.